CAAUUCCUCAGCCCCGAUCUUCUCUUCUCUUUCCGUUGCUCGAUCCCCUCCGCUAAUCUCCUCCUAGGGUUCGUCGCCGCCUCCCUUCCCGCUGCAACCCUCCCGUGCACUUCCUCUGGUCGCAACCUCCUUACGUUGUCCUCCACGACAGGUUCGGGCGGAGGCCGUCCCACACCCGCCCUCCUCAUCGAGCCGCCGCUGCCGUGCCUCCUCCCCCACGUCCAUCUCCGCACGGGCAGCCUUGCCGCCACCCCCGCCUGGCCUCCUUCCCUUUUUUCUCCCCAUCUCGGCCUGUACCUUCGUCAUCCGCUCCAGGAGGGGGCUGUUGCCUCUGCACACCAUCGCUUCGGUCCGUGGGAGGCCGCCGCAGGGCGGGAUCUAGCCGCCGCACCCACAACUAAGUUUCCUCCCAUCCCCGAUUUCAUUCGUCCAUGUGCUCUCCUCCCAUGGCGGUGCCCUAAUAGCCCAAGGGAUAGCAGCUGGCUCGUCGUGGUUUUUCUCCGACGAGGCUCCUCACGUAUGGCAGCGGCAGACGGCAGUUGGAUUGUAGUCCAAAUCCAGCAGCUAGCAAGGCUUCUUGAUUUUUGUCCGAGUGCUUCUGCUAUGAUAUCCAGCUUCCAUCUGAAUUUUCAUGAGACGCGCUGUGUAGCUAUGACCAUGAGCUAUUUUAAAUUAGUUAUUCUGGAGAAAAUUUCAGUUCGUUAGUGAUUACUUGCAGCAAAUUUAUUCAAUGGUUGGAUGGAUCUCUGAGUUCAGUCCGUCUAAUGGAAGUAUGGAACUUGAAAUUGUGCAGGAUGAGCUCGGGUUUGACAUCGUGCAGGGGCAAGCAAUGUGUUCAAGAAAAUGCUUGUGAAGAAAUAUGAACGUGGUUGUGUCAGGUUAAAAGUAUCUAACUUAUCCAUCUGUCAUUUCAAACUUCUACAGAAUAUCUGGAAGAAUAAAUUUUGAGCUGGCAGAAUUUACGUCUCUUCCAGUAGUUUUUUUUAUUCAACAUGUAAUCCUAAUUUCUUGAAAGCAUGCAUUUUGCAUAUUUUACCUCUCUUCCAGUAGAGGAUUCUCAGUAGUGUUCCCAUUUGUAUCUUGAAGCUUGUAUAAUGGUGAUCUAUGUGUGUGCCUCGCUGUCUAACCAUGGCACGGGCCGGGCUCAAGCCGGAGCGGGUAGAAGGAGCUCCGCCUCCUUGCCGCCAACGGCAGGAACAACAAGGGAUCAAUUUCGACGAGUUUACCUACCGCAGAUAGGAGGACAACCAAAUGGCAUUAAUAAUAGGCAUUCAGUCAAUAAGAGAGAAAAUUAUUUCCGCACUUCAAUCGUUCAACUCAUUCCUUUUGGUAUUGUCCUCAAUAGUGUUCACAAGGUUACCAAAGUGCUUGUAUCGGGAUAAUGGUUUUCUGGAUAUCUGGAACACAUUGAUUUUUGUUGCUGAACUUUCCUGUACCAUAUGUUAGUUGGUUCUAUCACUGGUUGCCAUGCUAUACCCAGAAGUCCAGAACCAAUGAUAGCAUAUUAGGAGCUCUCCUAGCUCAACACCGGGUGCAUGUUAUCUUAACAGUGAGGGUGAGAAUUAUCAUUGAGGUCUGUGUCAAAGUGUCCACUAAAGGCAAUAUCACCUUAGCUUGUUCCAGGAUCAAGAAAGUUGCAGCUUGUGGGUAUGUGUUCCUUUCUGCAUUUCUGAAGAUUUUUGUUGUAGCAGAAGCUAAUGGACAUUUGGUGAAGUUUAUGGGUCAUGAGAUGGAUGGAUCCAUGGUCAUCAAGAAUCACUGGGUAUCAUCAAAUGUGUUUUUACAUCAGACCGGGCAAGGCAUGUGAUGGGGAAUUGGGAGGAGACUAGCAGCUUCUACUGAGUGCGCCUUCUGUUCUGCCUUCUGCACUUUUAGGAAACUAAUCUUUUUGGAGGCCUGCAAGUCUUUACUUCAAUUUAAGUUACUUCUCGACUAUUAUCUUGAUAGAUUUUUUGAAUCCCAAGAAUCAUUUAUGCCAUAUGAUAAUACGUUCAAGAUAUAACCAAAGAUUUACUCCUAAAUAUAAAAGAGUGGUCCCUUGCUCCUCGCAUCCUUUUGUGAUAAAAAAAACACUCCUUGUCUCUUUCUAAUGGAAGCAAUUAAAUAUAAUGUGAAAAACUAAAAUGUUGGUAAUGUUUGUCACCGAAAUUAGGAUAAAUUUACUAGCAAGUGUCGUGACUAUAUAAUAGUGGUUUUAGUCUAAUUUAUCUAUAGCGAGUAGUCAAAUUUGUUUUAACCAUAGCAGCUCAAAUGUAAAUGUAAUAUUGAAGAAAUUAUGAUUUUCUUGCGAGGAUAUUAUUUGAAAAGUAUGCCAAACUGUUCGCGAACCACAAAUGACUUUAUCAUCAAUUUAUUUCGUGGGAACGAAGCAUGUCUUCCAUUUUUUUAAAUAAUAUUAAGGUGAUUUGGAGUGUCAUUAGUCAACCAUACAUAUGACUUUACUGGAAAAAAAUCAACAUACAAAAUGUUCUUUUGUAGAAACGCACGGGCACUCCACUAGUUUAUUACUAUCUAUUAAAUUAGAGUUGGUGGUGAUGGUUGGGCGUCAUUGGCCGGUCAAUUUUGUUAAAAUUAUAACCAAUAUAUCACUGUCCCUUAUUUUCUUUCCCUACCGCUUUAUUCACGAUUUCUUUUUCUCUGUCUUACGACCGACGCCACCAUGCCCGCAUCCCACAGUCAGAUCUUUUGCUUUUUUGUGGGAUUUUUAGGAUCCUAUCUUUUUUCUGAUUGUUCCGUCAUGUACUUUUAAAUCCGUCAUGUACUUUUAAUAUAUAAUAGAUUUUUUAAGAUUCUAUCUUUUUUCUGGUUGCUCUGUCAUGAACUUUUAAUAUAUAAUAGAUUUGAGUAAGGUGACAUUGACAUGGGACGGAGGGCGUGGAGCAUUGGAUGCAUUUGUAUGGACGGUGUAAAUCGGACGGAUUUGACACAGCUGUUGCUUAACUUCUGCUUGGUUCAGGACAAAUGCAUUGCU
RNA transcript from Brachypodium distachyon (stiff brome), 2971 nucleotides. RefSeq lists it as uncharacterized. The record is from RefSeq and is a predicted model, not a curated record. NCBI's taxonomy places the organism in Eukaryota, Viridiplantae, Streptophyta, Magnoliopsida, Poales, Poaceae. The transcript has 5 exons.